RNAcentral lists this unclassified non-coding RNA (243 nucleotides) under Glomus sp. Its description in RNAcentral is "partial internal transcribed spacer region". The stretch from base 1 to 46 matches the Rfam family "Eukaryotic small subunit ribosomal RNA", at positions 1786 to 1831 of the family's 1831-position model. Lineage: Eukaryota; Fungi; Glomeromycota; Glomeromycetes; Glomerales; Glomeraceae. The record is from RNAcentral. RNAcentral also lists the same sequence under 1 other name.
AAGUCGUAACAAGGUUUCCGUAGGUGAACCUGCGGAAGGAUCAUUAUUAUUUGGGUCGGGUUUACCUCUUGUCUAGUUUUUUGUGCUCAAUAAUUCAAGUAGGAGGUAAACUUUUACCAAAUAAAUCCUAUUUCCAAAUAGGAGCAAGAACCCUUAUAUUUAAAACCCACUCUUAAAAUAUUAUUUAUGUAUUUUGAAUGAUAAAAAUAAAGAUCACUUUCAACAACGGAUCUCUUGGCUCUC